This is a long non-coding RNA of Mustela erminea (ermine), 159 nucleotides long. RefSeq lists it as uncharacterized. The transcript is spliced from 3 exons. Lineage: Eukaryota; Metazoa; Chordata; Mammalia; Carnivora; Mustelidae. The record is from RefSeq and is a predicted model, not a curated record.
ACCUGUGCUCUUCGGAUCCCAAGCCCCUUGGACACUGCAGCUCUUUUUAGUUUUUGCUUAUACACAAUUCAUUCUUUGCAGCUUAUUAAGCUGAAGAAGCCUGGGAAUAAAGUUUGAAACAAGAUUAAUAAAGUUCUUUGCCUAGGAAAAAAAAAAAAA